GGGAGGUAGUGACAAUAAAUAACAAUAUAGGGCUCUUUUGGGUCUUAUAAUUGGAAUGAGUACAAUUUAAAUCCCUUAACGAGGAACAAUUGGAGGGCAAGUCUGGUGCCAGCAGCCGCGGUAAUUCCAGCUCCAAUAGCGUAUAUUAAAGUUGUUGCAGUUAAAAAGCUCGUAGUUGAAUUUCGGGAUUAGUAGGUUGGUCGUGCCUCUGGUAUGUACUGGCUUUACUGGUUCCUCCUUCUUGAAGAACUGUAAUGUCAUUAAUUUGGUGUUGCAGGGAAACAGGACUGUUACUUUGAAAAAAUUAGAGUGUUUAAAGCAGGCUAACGCUUGAAUACAUUAGCAUGGAAUAAUGAAAUAGGACGUUUGAUCCUAUUUUGUUGGUUUCUAGGAUUGACGUAAUGAUUAAUAGGGAUAGUUGGG
Molecule: ribosomal RNA, 423 nt
Filed under: uncultured Glomeraceae
Lineage: Eukaryota; Fungi; Glomeromycota; Glomeromycetes; Glomerales; Glomeraceae
Description: SSU rRNA
Rfam family: Eukaryotic small subunit ribosomal RNA
Source: RNAcentral